GAUGAACGCUGGCGGCGUGCCUAAUACAUGCAAGUCGAGCGAACGGACGAGAAGCUUGCUUCUCUGAUGUUAGCGGCGGACGGGUGAGUAACACGUGGAUAACCUACCUAUAAGACUGGGAUAACUUCGGGAAACCGGAGCUAAUACCGGAUGAUAUUUUGAACCGCAUGGUUCAAAAGUGAAAGACGGUCUUGCGGUCACUUAUAGAUGGAUCCGCGCUGCAUUAGCUAGUUGGUAAGGUAACGGCUUACCAAGGCAACGAUGCAUAGCCGACCUGAGAGGGUGAUCGGCCACACUGGAACUGAGACACGGUCCAGACUCCUACGGGAGGCAGCAGGAGGGAAUCUUCCGCAAUGGGCGAAAGCCUGACGGAGCAACGCCGCGUGAGUGAUGAAGGUCUUCGGAUCGUAAAACUCUGUUAUUAGGGAAGAACAUAUGUGUAAGUAACUGUGCACAUCUUGACGGUACCUAAUCAGAAAGCCACGGCUAACUACGU
RNAcentral lists this ribosomal RNA (496 nucleotides) under uncultured bacterium. RNAcentral's name for it is "partial 16S ribosomal RNA". It matches the Rfam family "Bacterial small subunit ribosomal RNA", at positions 28 to 506 of the family's 1533-position model. The record is from RNAcentral.